This 309-nucleotide ribosomal RNA is filed under the name uncultured bacterium. RNAcentral's name for it is "partial 16S ribosomal RNA". It matches the Rfam family "Bacterial small subunit ribosomal RNA", at positions 504 to 809 of the family's 1533-position model. The record is from RNAcentral.
AGAGACAGCAGUAGCCGCGGUAAUACGAAGGGGGCUAGCGUUGUUCGGAAUUACUGGGCGUAAAGCGCACGUAGGCGGAUAUUUAAGUCAGGGGUGAAAUCCCGCAGCUCAACUGCGGAACUGCCUUUGAUACUGGGUAUCUUGAGUAUGGAAGAGGUUAGUGGAAUUGCGAGUGUAGAGGUGAAAUUCGUAGAUAUUCGCAGGAACACCAGUGGCGAAGGCGGCUAACUGGUCCAUAACUGACGCUGAGGUGCGAAAGCGUGGGGAGCAAACAGGAUUAGAUACCCCGGUAGUCCCUGUCUCUUAUAA